GCUGGGGUCGCCUAGUCUGGUAUGGCGCAAGCCUGCUAAGCUUGUUGGCUUCGGCCUUCGUGGGUUCAAAUCCCACCCCCAGCG
This 84-nucleotide transfer RNA is filed under the name Candidatus Woesearchaeota archaeon. Its description in RNAcentral is "tRNA-Ser". It matches the Rfam family "tRNA". Rfam says of the family: Transfer RNA (tRNA) molecules are approximately 80 nucleotides in length. Their secondary structure includes four short double-helical elements and three loops (D, anti-codon, and T loops). Further hydrogen bonds mediate the characteristic L-shaped molecular structure. tRNAs have two regions of fundamental functional importance: the anti-codon, which is responsible for specific mRNA codon recognition, and the 3' end, to which the tRNAs corresponding amino acid is attached (by aminoacyl-tRNA synthetases). tRNAs cope with the degeneracy of the genetic code in two manners: having more than one tRNA (with a specific anti-codon) for a particular amino acid; and 'wobble' base-pairing, i.e. permitting non-standard base-pairing at the 3rd anti-codon position. Lineage: Archaea; Nanobdellati; Candidatus Woesearchaeota. The record is from RNAcentral.